UAUGUUUAUGGGAUCUGUUAAUAAAUGAAAGGCGGAAUUUAAUUAAAUAGUGCGGUUUCAAGUACUACGUUUACAUAUGAAAAGCUACUAGCUCCAUAACUCCUGCAGAUUGAAAGCAACAUUAAUUUUACGUUCUAUUUGUACACGCAGGUAUUGAAGAUACAAAUGUAAUUAAAAUUCUAGCAAAGGGUCAUUUCCUAAUAGGCUGACGAAUUAUCGAGCCUCCAAAACCGAAAAUGGUUAACACAAAUAUGGCGAAGAGAGGACAAAUUUAAAAUGAGACAGAGAGUUUUGAACGUAUAGACAAGAGAAUACUUACGAGUAAGUUGUCUGCAACAGGCAUGUAAAUAAUUAAAUACCACGGACGAUGGAACGGUGGUUAUCAUAUAAGUUUUUUUCAAUAUUUAUCAUUGUUUAUCUGGAAAACAGAGUCAACUUGGUUUUUAAAUUUAAUUUAGCGAAAAACGUUAAAUGAAUAUGUUAACAAAUAUGAUUAUUAAAAAAUACUUAACCCAUGUUCGAUCAAGUCAAUAGUAUCUAAAUUAAUCCAAAUCAUUUUAAAAUUACAUUUGCAAAUAUCAGUAGUAGUAGAAAAUGAGUUUCAUUGGAGUGUCGCCAGUGCCAAAUAAACGUAUUUUGUAAUCCAUUUUUUAAGUACAGUCUGUCGAUAAGUCAAAAUCACUAGUCAAAACGCAUCUAAAGAUUUAAGCUACCGUUCACAGCCACAGUUGCUUAGGUACAAGGUGCUAAAGUGUUAAAGGCUGAGAGCGGAUUUUUAAUAUAUUAUACGAUUUAUUGUUAAUUUAAAAAAAAUUAAUUUUACUAGACAGUUUCUAUUGGCCGUUAUUGAGAUCUAACUCAGAAACAAUUGAUAUUGUCGCACAAUGACAUCGUCAAUGUUGACAUAAAUCUAUAUUUUUUCAUCGAAAUUGUCUGUUUCAUCAAUUUGCAGUCAUUCCAGAAUCAAAUAACAAUGAUUCACCACGGUCUUCAUCACCGAAAAAAGAAUAUCAUGUAUCUACCGAAAAGAAUACAUAUGGCAGAGACUUUUGGUGGUACCUGCAACGGGCCCCAAUAGUGGUGCCAUUUUGUAUGUACAUCCCAUUUCGCAAUGGCAAAAAAUAAAUACUAAUAAAAUCAUACUAAAAACCCGAAAACCAAUAACUGCGUGUAAUUGAACCAGUAUUGAUUAUAUUUUUCAAAAUCGCAAUGUCGCUGUUGAAGAUAAACCAAAAAGAAAAAAUCAAGCAUGAAAAGAAACCUCAUCCUCUAGUUAUGGAGGUAAAGAAGAUGUUGAAGGAAUACAAUAUGGAAUACGCAAGUCCUCAAGUUAUAGCAAACUUAACAUGCAUCGCCGAAAAUAUGGCAAUCGAACUAUUAAAAAGUGCUGAAUUCUAUUCCCAAAAAAAUGCAGGUGGUAAUCCUGGUACCAUCAACAAGAAUGAUAUAAAAUUAGCAAUAAAUUUGCGAUACCAAGACUGUACAAAAUUACCCGACGAAGACAUUUCAGGCAAUGAUUGAUGCAGCUGUGGCUGUGAACGGCAACCCUCUAUUUUUAAAGGACAUAGCUGGAAUACCCCUACCAAAGGAUAAUUUUGGAAACUGCAAUUAUCGAUUGCACAAUCCUCACAAAAAGUUAAAAAUUGACGUCCACCGAGAUCAUUCUCUUCCGUAUUAUUCAUACCUUAUGUCCUACAAUAAUUACAAAUCAAGAAAAACUGGUAACAUAAAUAUGAAUAACUAUUUAUUCAAAAAUCCAAUGCAAAUGCGUCCUAUGGAUGAAUUGCCUAUGAAAGUAACCGUGACUCCUACAUAUGAAAUGUUGCCCACCGGACAAUCCAUGCUCAAGAAAAAAUUUAAUCGUCGAUAUAGAUAAGGUAUGAAAUUCUUCAACAUAGACAUAUUAAGUGCAGGAUAUACAAUCACAAGAAUAAUUUGCUUUCAUACAAAUAAGUAUAACUAAUUUCUAUACAAUAAUGAAUUACAUGUAAUACGUACCUUCUAAGUUGAUAUAUUAAUCUAUGUUCAUAAAUAAACAUCGGGAUGUGAAUCAAUGAA
Long non-coding RNA from Dalotia coriaria, 2058 nucleotides. RefSeq lists it as uncharacterized. Lineage: Eukaryota; Metazoa; Arthropoda; Insecta; Coleoptera; Staphylinidae. The record is from RefSeq and is a predicted model, not a curated record. The transcript has 6 exons.